UCAAGCUACUAAGGGCAUACGGCGGAUGCCUAGGCGCCAUCAGCCGAUGAAGGACGCGGUAAGCUGCGAAAAGCUACGGGGAACUGCAAGCAAGUAUUGAUCCGUAGAUGUCCGAAUGGGGAAACCCACCUGCCGUCAUGGGCAGGUAUCCGAAAGGAAGGGAACCCGGGGAACUGAAACAUCUAAGUACCCGGAGGAAGAGAAAUCAAACGAGAUGCCCACAGUAGCGGCGAGCGAAGAGGGCAGAGGGCAAACCGGUGAGCUACGGCUCGCCGGGGUUGAGGACUGCAUUUAGUCUCAAUGGUCUAUCCGAACUACCUGGAAAGGUAGGCAAUACAGUGUAAAAGCCACGUAGGUUAAAGACCGGAGAGAUGAGCAGUAUCCAGAGUACCACGAGGCACGAGGAAUCUUGUGGGAAGCCGGGGGGACCACCCUCCAACCCUAAACACUGAAUGGCGACCGAUAGCGCAUAGUACCGUGAGGGAAAGGUGAAAAGAACCCCGGGAGGGGAGUGAAAGAGAACCUGAAACCCUGUGUUUACAAGCUGUGGAACAUCUUUAUAUGAUGAACCGCGUACUUUUUGUAGAACGGUCCGGCGAGUUACGCUGGCUGGCGAGGUUAAGCACUGAAGGUGCGGAGCCGAAGGGAAACCAAGUCUGAACAGGGCGAAAUAGUCAGUCGGAGUAGACCCGAAACCGGGUGAUCUAUCCAUGUCCAGGUUGAAGUUGCCGUAAAAGGCAAUGGAGGACCGAACCCACAUCCGUUGAAAAGGGUGGGGAUGAGGUGUGGAUAGGGGAGAAAUUCCAAUCGAACCCGGAGAUAGCUGGUUCUCCUCGAAAUAGCUUUAGGGCUAGCCUCGAUACAGAUUUGCGGAGGUAGAGCACUGAAUUUCCUAGGGGGCGUCAAAGCCUACCGAAGAAUAUCAAACUCCGAAUGCCAUACAGAUGAUGUACGGGAGUCAGACGGCACGAGAUAAGUUGGGUCGUCAAAAGGGAAAGAGCCCAGACCACCAGCUAAGGUCCCAAAGUGCGUGUUAAGUGGAAAAGGAUGUGGGAUUUCGAAGACAACCAGGAUGUUGGCUCAGAAGCAGCCAUCCAUUCAAAGAGUGCGUAAUAGCUCACUGGUCGAGAGGUCCUGCGCCGAAAAUGUCCGGGGCUGAAACGCGCCACCGAAACUAAGGAACCGAAAGGUUGGUAGAGGAGCAUUGCAUGCGGGAAGAAGCAGUACCGUAAGGAGCUGUGGACUGCAUGGAAGAGAGAAUGCCGGAAUGAGUAGCGAGAAUAAGGUGAGAAUCCUUAUGGCCGAAUAUCCAAGGUUUCCAGAGUAAAGCUGAUCUGCUCUGGGUAAGUCGGGGCCUAAGGCGAGGACGAGAGUCGUAGCCGAUGGACAACAGGUGGAGAUUCCUGUACUGCGGUAUGACAGAACUGUGGGGACACGUAAGGAAAGCGGAAGCCGGGAAUGGAAAGCCCGGUGCAAGCGGGGUACCAGUCACUUUGGCAAAUCCGGGUGGCAAUGGGAAGCCGUGAUGCGGAGCGAAAUAAAGUAGCGAAGUCCGUGAGCCAUGCGUCAAGAAAAGCCGCUAUCGUUUAUACCGUACCCGUACCGUAAACCGACACAGGUGGAUGAGGAGAGAAUCCUAAGGCCGGCGGGAGAAGCAUUGUUAAGGAACUCGGCAAAAUGACCCCGUAACUUCGGGAGAAGGGGUGCCUGCUAACGCAGGCCGCAGAGAAUAGGCUCAAGCAACUGUUUAGCAAAAACACAGGUCUAUGCAAAACCGAAAGGUGAGGUAUAUGGGCUGACGCCUGCCCGGUGCUGGAAGGUUAAGAGGAGAGGUUAGAGCAAUCGAAGCUUUGAAUUUAAGCCCCAGUAAACGGCGGCCGUAACUAUAACGGUCCUAAGGUAGCGAAAUUCCUUGUCGGGUAAGUUCCGACCCGCACGAAAGGCG
RNAcentral lists this ribosomal RNA (1945 nucleotides) under human gut metagenome. RNAcentral describes it as "bacterial LSU rRNA". It matches the Rfam family "Bacterial large subunit ribosomal RNA", at positions 3 to 2001 of the family's 2925-position model. The record is from RNAcentral.